AUGUUCCCAGCAAUGCGCGCCGUCCUCAGCGCGGCGAGGAGCGGAGCGGCCAGAAGGGCGGGAAGCUCGUCUCGCUUCCUCUCUGGAUCCUCCGACUCCCGGAGGCUGGCCGGGAAGGUGGCCGUCAUCACCGGCGCGGCGAGCGGCAUCGGCAAGGCGACCGCAGCGGAGUUCGUCCGGAACGGCGCCAGGGUCGUCCUCGCCGACGUCCAGGACGAGCUGGGCCGCGCCGCGGCGGCCGAUCUCGGCGGAACGGACACGGCAUGCUACACCCGCUGCGACGUGACCGACGAGGCGCAGGUGGCCGCCGCCGUGGACCUCGCCGUCGCGCGGCACGGCCGGCUCGACGUCAUGUUCAACAACGCCGGGAUCACGGGCGGCAGCUACGCGGCCGCCCCGAUCGAGUCGCUGGACAUGGCCGACUUCGACCGCGUCAUGGCCGUCAACCUCCGCGGCGUGGCCGCCGGCAUCAAGCACGCGGCGCGCGCCAUGGCGCCGCGCGGCCAGGGGUGCAUCCUCUGCACCUCCAGCACGGCCGGCGCGCUGGCCGGGUCGGCCCCCCACGCCUACAGCGUCUCCAAGACGGCCGUCGUCGGCAUGGUGCGGUCGGCGGCCGCGGAGCUGGCGGCGCGCGGCGUCAGGGUCAACGCCAUCUCGCCGUACGCCAUCGCCACGUCCAUGGGCGCGCGCGCCGUCAGGGAGAUGCUGGGGCUUCCGCCGCGGGGUGCCGGCGACGAGGAGGAGGAGGAGCUGGUCAGGCGGGUCUUCGAGGAGGACUUCAACGAGAUGGGCGGCGGCGUGGUGCUGCGCGCGGAGGACGUCGCGAGGGCGGCGGUGUUCCUGGCGUCCGACGAUGCCAGGUACAUCACCGGGCAUAAUCUUAUGGUGGACGGCGGGUUCUCCGUGGCGAAGCCGCUCAACGUGCCGGCGAACUGA
This 936-nucleotide ribosomal RNA is filed under the name Triticum aestivum (bread wheat). Its description in RNAcentral is "partial small subunit ribosomal RNA". Lineage: Eukaryota; Viridiplantae; Streptophyta; Magnoliopsida; Poales; Poaceae. The record is from RNAcentral.